This 468-nucleotide ribosomal RNA is filed under the name uncultured bacterium. RNAcentral's name for it is "partial 16S ribosomal RNA". It matches the Rfam family "Bacterial small subunit ribosomal RNA", at positions 28 to 507 of the family's 1533-position model. The record is from RNAcentral.
GACGAACGCUGGCGGCGUGCUUAACACAUGCAAGUCGAACGGAAAGGCCCUGCUUUUGUGGGGUGCUCGAGUGGCGAACGGGUGAGUAACACGUGAGUAACCUGCCCUUGACUUUGGGAUAACUUCAGGAAACUGGGGCUAAUACCGGAUAGGAGCUCCUGCUGCAUGGUGGGGGUUGGAAAGUUUCGGCGGUUGGGGAUGGACUCGCGGCUUAUCAGCUUGUUGGUGGGGUAGUGGCUUACCAAGGCUUUGACGGGUAGCCGGCCUGGGAGGGUGACCGGCGACAUUGGGACUGAGAGACGGACCAGACUGCAACGGGAGGCAGUAGUGGGGAAUAUUGCACAAUGGGCGGAAGCCUGAUGCAGCAACGCCGCGUGUGGGAUGACGGCCUUCGGGUUGUAAACCGCUUUCGCCUGUGACGAUGCGUGAGUGACGGUAAUGGGUAAAGAAGCACCGGCUAACUACGUG